UUAGGGUUAGCGCAAAGCAUAUAAUGCCCUAGACCCUAACCAGCGAGGAGAGGCGUAGACAACGUUACUGCGGCCUCUCUUUGCUUCUGGGAUCUCUUACCAAUCUCUCGAAGGCAUCUGUCUUGUGUUUCUCGUACAUUUCAAUUUAUGACUUUCUGAAUUUUGGUUUUUAGAUUUCGAAGAUGAGCAUCGGUGAUGAAUUCUCACAAUCGUUAUCCUUGCACUUUGAUUGAUAGUGAAGAUAAUCAUGGGGACUGUAAUUUCUGAGAUGCUUCUAUAUCGAAUGAAUUCCAAAUUCUUGUAGAAUUGUUCCUGGUAAGGCUUGAUGAUAUGGAUGAUGAUUUAGGUGGAAGCUUACUACCUUGUGGUCCAUUUCUGUUGCUGCUACAGUUGCAAGAAGCAGUCCCCCCCACCCCCUCGCUUGAUCAACAGAUGUUAUUUGGAAAAUGCUGCGACAUGUUCUAGUCGAUAGCAACAAUGUUGAUGGGUUGGAAUUUGUAUACUACUUGAAUUAAAUCUCUGAAUUUUACAUUUGCUGAAUCAACUCAUUGGAAAAACCUUGAAUGAUUA
Molecule: long non-coding RNA, 570 nt
Organism: Tripterygium wilfordii
Lineage: Eukaryota; Viridiplantae; Streptophyta; Magnoliopsida; Celastrales; Celastraceae
Exons: 2
Source: RefSeq, a predicted model, not a curated record